UGUUUUGCGCUCAAUUGCAAUCCGACACAUCAAGUACUCAUUCAGAAUUGCAAACGAGAAGUAUCACUGAUUCAUAAUUCUAGCAACAGUCAAAUUUUAGAAAUUCAGAGAGAUGAAGCUAAAUCAACCAUGGAUAUAUCUUCAAAAAAAAAAAAAAAAUAGAACAGAGCAAGAAUGUCACUCGAAAUGUAUAUAAAUCUCAGUACGACCUCAAACAUUCAAACCAAGUUAAUAUCAAACUAGCUAGCUGAACUCCAAUUCUUAACCCGACGAAUCAGCAUCAAAACUAACUAGAGAAUCGACAUCGAAAUUAAAGAGAGCAUGAGAAGAUGAACUUGAAAUUGAAUCUUUCUUUUGAUAACAAAAUCGAAGGCGAUUACACAGUUUCAACUCAAAAAUUCCCACAAGAACGCAAAGGCAAAUCAAAACUCGAAGAACAGCAAACCAGUAGCAGUCGAGUAGAAAUAAGAGGUUCGAAUAGCGACCAACUCAGCAAUUCUCAAACGAGCUCCAUUUUAAGAGAACACCAGCCCAGAAAGAAGAUACGAAUUUUUUUUUUUUUGAUUGAUUUUUUUUAACCAUAGCCUUUCUACAAAAAAAUUCUCUCAAAAAAAUCCCCCUCAUCUCAAAAUCGGAUCCAGUCCUUUAUGAAACGAACCCUUGAUAAAUGUGGGGCUCGGAUAGAACGAAAUCUAUCCAAUGCCUCACAUACGAGUCGUCUCUAGGACCUUCCAAUCGCGAGGUAAAUCUAAAAAACGAGCCAGUAAGAGGAGAGGGAAAUGGGGCCAUGGUUCGUGGAGAAGAAGAACAGUACACAGUAUCGCGCUUGAGAGAUUUAGGGGUUUUCGUGAUUUUU
Molecule: long non-coding RNA, 856 nt
Filed under: Nicotiana benthamiana
Lineage: Eukaryota; Viridiplantae; Streptophyta; Magnoliopsida; Solanales; Solanaceae
Description: long non-coding RNA (NBEN_LNC040711)
Source: RNAcentral